CGAGCGACUUCGGUUUUUAUCGCCGUACAAAAGCCCGUGUUCAGCAGCGGCGCUGGACCCUCGCUGGACCCUGGAAGGGUUCCCCUCUGGCCGGCGGUUGAUGUCGUCAGCCGUGACUGCGGGUUCCCAGCGACGCCCAUGGGCCUGAACACAUCGCCUUGGCUGCGUCGUCUGAGCGUGGCAGCCAGAAGGCUCUGGCCCCUUUCAACAGAUGCUGCAGUAUUUGUAACCUUUGCAGAAGUGUCAGAACCCCUUUCUAAUAAUGGAUCAACGCUGGAAGCGUUCUCUGGUCAGUUCGGACGGGACCACUCUGAGUGAUACGUUUAGCGGAGGGAUCCGUGGCGGCCCUUACAGGAGCUGCAAAGCAUGUGCACCGUCCCGUUACGAAAGCUUCCUGUCCGGCAGUCAGGAAUUAGAUACUGGCAUCCAGGAAGCACGGAAGAGCUGACUGCCUUUUCCAGUUGCGUUGGCUGUCGCUCCCUCGGAACGGAUUGAUUUUUUUCGACUUAGGCUGUAAAAAGACCUCAGUAAGGCCUUUUCAACUCGGCCGUAAAAACGCUUAAUCAAUAAAAUCUUUGGAGACAAAUAUGUUUGAGUACAUUGACUCGAUUUCAUAUCCAAGCCCUAAAUUAACUGCGAGAUGCUGUCAAGCAUUAUGCAUCAUAUGUAAUAUUGUUUGUAUUUUAAAAAUUUGCAAAGACUUUACCCCUCCCCCCUUGAUUCAUGGAUGAUAUAAUGUACAUUUUAUUUGUGCAGCCAUUUGUGAAAUAGAUGUAUUGCGCAGAUAAGAGUUUGAGUUCACCCAUUCAUUCGCCCCUUACUGGUAAAUAUGUAACAUGCUUUGGAUACUUCCUAUCCUGUUCUACUGCAGAGUAUCCUUUUUCCUUGAAGCAUUACAGUAAUUGUGGAGUUUCCCUAAAAUCUGUAACAAAUAUCAAAGGAAUUCAGAGGCUUUUUGAUAAACUCAACACACAGCACGCUGCUUAAACAUACCCGUUAAGUGUUAAAGAGGGCGUCAGUCCCACAGGCUGAAUG
This is a long non-coding RNA of Brienomyrus brachyistius, 1035 nucleotides long. RefSeq lists it as uncharacterized. The transcript is spliced from 3 exons. The record is from RefSeq and is a predicted model, not a curated record. Lineage: Eukaryota; Metazoa; Chordata; Actinopteri; Osteoglossiformes; Mormyridae.